UUAAGCGACUAAGCGUACACGGUGGAUGCCCUGGCAGUCAGAGGCGAUGAAGGACGUGCUAAUCUGCGAAAAGCGCCGGCGAGGUGAUAUGAACCCUUGACCCGGCGAUGUCCGAAUGGGGAAACCCAGUGCAAUCCGUUGCACUAUCGUUAACUGAAUACAUAGGUUAACGAGGCGAACCGGGGGAACUGAAACAUCUAAGUACCCCGAGGAAAAGAAAUCAACCGAGAUUCCCCCAGUAGCGGCGAGCGAACGGGGAGCAGCCCGGAGUCUGAAUCAGCUUGUGUGUUAGUGGAACGGUCUGGAAAGUCCGACGGUACAGGGUGAUAGUCCCGUACACGAAAAUGCACAUGCUGUGAACUCGAAGAGUAGGGCGGGACACGUGGUAUCCUGUCUGAAUAUGGGGGGACCAUCCUCCAAGGCUAAAUACUCCUGACUGACCGAUAGUGAACCAGUACCGUGAGGGAAAGGCGAAAAGAACCCCGGCGAGGGGAGUGAAAAAGAACCUGAAACCGUGUACGUACAAGCAGUGGGAGCCUCUUUAUGGGGUGACUGCGUACCUUUUGUAUAAUGGGUCAGCGACUUAUAUUCUGUAGCAAGGUUAACCGUAUAGGGGAGCCGAAGGGAAACCGAGUCUUAACUGGGCGUUAAGUUGCAGGGUAUAGACCCGAAACCCGGUGAUCUAGCCAUGGGCAGGUUGAAGGUUGGGUAACACUAACUGGAGGACCGAACCGACUAAUGUUGAAAAAUUAGCGGAUGACCUGUGGCUGGGGGUGAAAGGCCAAUCAAACCGGGAGAUAGCUGGUUCUCCCCGAAAGCUAUUUAGGUAGCGCCUCGUGAACUCAUCUUCGGGGGUAGAGCACUGUUUCGGCUAGGGGGCCAUCCCGGCUUACCAACCCGAUGCAAACUACGAAUACCGAAGAAUGUUAUCACGGGAGACACACGGCGGGUGCUAACGUCCGUCGUGAAGAGGGAAACAACCCAGACCGCCAGCUAAGGUCCCAAAGUCAUGGUUAAGUGGGAAACGAUGUGGGAAGGCACAGACAGCCAGGAUGUUGGCUUAGAAGCAGCCAUCAUUUAAAGAAAGCGUAAUAGCUCACUGGUCGAGUCGGCCUGCGCGGAAGAUGUAACGGGGCUAAACCAUGCACCGAAGCUGCGGCAGCGACACUUAUGUGUUGUUGGGUAGGGGAGCGUUCUGUAAGCCGUUGAAGGUGUGCUGUGAGGCAUGCUGGAGGUAUCAGAAGUGCGAAUGCUGACAUAAGUAACGAUAAAGCGGGUGAAAAGCCCGCUCGCCGGAAGACCAAGGGUUCCUGUCCAACGUUAAUCGGGGCAGGGUGAGUCGACCCCUAAGGCGAGGCCGAAAGGCGUAGUCGAUGGGAAACAGGUUAAUAUUCCUGUACUUGGUGUUACUGCGAAGGGGGGACGGAGAAGGCUAUGUCAGCCGGGCGACGGUUGUCCCGGUUUAAGCAUGUAGGCGGAGGUUCCAGGUAAAUCCGGUACCUUGUUAACGCUGAGGUGUGAUGACGAGGCACUACGGUGCUGAAGUGAUAAAUGCCCUGCUUCCAGGAAAAGCCUCUAAGCAUCAGGUAACACGAAAUCGUACCCCAAACCGACACAGGUGGUCAGGUAGAGAAUACCAAGGCGCUUGAGAGAACUCGGGUGAAGGAACUAGGCAAAAUGGUGCCGUAACUUCGGGAGAAGGCACGCUGAUGUGUAGGUGAAGCCCCUGCGGGUGGAGCUGAAAUCAGUCGAAGAUACCAGCUGGCUGCAACUGUUUAUUAAAAACACAGCACUGUGCAAACACGAAAGUGGACGUAUACGGUGUGACGCCUGCCCGGUGCCGGAAGGUUAAUUGAUGGGGUUAGCGGCAACGCGAAGCUCUUGAUCGAAGCCCCGGUAAACGGCGGCCGUAACUAUAACGGUCCUAAGGUAGCGAAAUUCCUUGUCGGGUAAGUUCCGACCUGCACGAAUGGCGUAAUGAUGGCCAGGCUGUCUCCACCCGAGACUCAGUGAAAUUGAACUCGCUGUGAAGAUGCAGUGUACCCGCGGCAAGACGGAAAGACCCCGUGAACCUUUACUAUAGCUUGACACUGAACACUGGUCCUUGAUGUGUAGGAUAGGUGGGAGGCUUUGAAGCGUGGACGCCAGUCUGCGUGGAGCCAACCUUGAAAUACCACCCUUUAAUGGCUGGUGUUCUAACGUAGACCCGUAAUCCGGGUUGCGGACAGUGUCUGGUGGGUAGUUUGACUGGGGCGGUCUCCUCCCAAAGAGUAACGGAGGAGCACGAAGGUUGGCUAAUCCUGGUCGGACAUCAGGAGGUUAGUGCAAUGGCAUAAGCCAGCUUGACUGCGAGCGUGACGGCGCGAGCAGGUGCGAAAGCAGGUCAUAGUGAUCCGGUGGUUCUGAAUGGAAGGGCCAUCGCUCAACGGAUAAAAGGUACUCCGGGGAUAACAGGCUGAUACCGCCCAAGAGUUCAUAUCGACGGCGGUGUUUGGCACCUCGAUGUCGGCUCAUCACAUCCUGGGGCUGAAGUAGGUCCCAAGGGUAUGGCUGUUCGCCAUUUAAAGUGGUACGCGAGCUGGGUUUAGAACGUCGUGAGACAGUUCGGUCCCUAUCUGCCGUGGGCGCUGGAGAAUUGAGGGGGGCUGCUCCUAGUACGAGAGGACCGGAGUGGACGCAUCACUGGUGUUCGGGUUGUCAUGCCAAUGGCACUGCCCGGUAGCUAAAUGCGGAAGAGAUAAGUGCUGAAAGCAUCUAAGCACGAAACUUGCCCCGAGAUGAGUUCUCCCUGAGACUUUAAGUCUCCUGAAGGAACGUUGAAGACGACGACGUUGAUAGGUCGGGUGUGUAAGCGCAGCGAUGCGUUGAGCUAACCGAUACUAAUGAACCGUGAGGCUUAACCUU
This 2904-nucleotide ribosomal RNA is filed under the name Enterobacter cloacae. RNAcentral describes it as "bacterial LSU rRNA". It matches the Rfam family "Bacterial large subunit ribosomal RNA". The record is from RNAcentral. Lineage: Bacteria; Pseudomonadati; Pseudomonadota; Gammaproteobacteria; Enterobacterales; Enterobacteriaceae.